Molecule: long non-coding RNA, 4800 nt
Organism: Ahaetulla prasina
Lineage: Eukaryota; Metazoa; Chordata; Lepidosauria; Squamata; Colubridae
Exons: 3
Source: RefSeq, a predicted model, not a curated record
GUAAAACAAGUGUGUUCAGAACCACCAUAAAAAGACCCACCUUCAACCAAUAGAAUAGAAUAGAAUAGAAUAGAAUAGAAUAGAAUAGAAUAGAAUAGAAUAGAAUAGAAUAGAAUAGAACAGAACAGAAUUUUUCAUUGGCCAAAUGUGAUUGGAACACAAGAAAUUUGUCUUGGUGCAUAUGCUCUCAAUGUACAUAAAGGAAAAGAUACGUUCAUCAAGAAUCAUAAGGUACAACACUUAAUGAUAGUCAUAGGGUACAAAUAAGCAAUCAAAUCAUAUUAGGAAACAGUCAAUAUAAUCUGUAAGAAUACAAGCAAUAAAGUUAGAGUCAUACAGUUAUAAGUGGGAGGAGAUGGGUAAUAGUUUCCAAGGAAACAGAGGAAUGGUCAAACCACAUCUCGUUCUAACAGCAGGGAUAUAAUAAAAUAAUAAAGAGAACUCUAGUGCUUAAGACACCAGGCUAGAAAGCAGGAAACUAAGUUCUAGUCCUGCCUCAGGCAUGAAAACCAGCUGAGUGACUUUGGGCCAGUCACUCUCCCUCAGUGAGGAGGAAGAAGGAGUACUAUGUGUGUAUUUGCUGCUCUGAAUUAUUUAUAAAAAGUAAUAAAGGCAGGAUAUAAAAAAAGAAUAAAACAGUUUUUCUGACCAAGUCUGAGCCGUGGUGGCGCUUGAUUAGAAUGCAGUACUGCAGUGCUGACUGCCAGCAGUUCGAUUCUCACAGGCUCCAGGUUGACUCAGCCUUCCAUCCUUCCUGUUGUUGUUGUUAGUUGCGAAGUCAUGUCCGACCUAUCGCGACCCCAUGGACAACAUUCCUCCAGGCCUUCCUGUCCUCUACCAUCCUCUGGAGUCCAUUUAAACUCAUGCCUACUGCUUCAGUGACUCCAUCCAGCCACCUCGUUCUCUGUCGUCCCCUCCUUCUUUUGCCAUCAAUCUUUCCCACCAUUAGGCUCUUCUCCAGUGAGUCCUUCUUUCUCAUUAGGUGGCCAAAGUAUUUCAGUUUCAUCUUCAGGAUCUGGCCUUCUAAAGAGCAGUCAGGGUUGAUCUCCUCUAGAACUGACUUGUUUGUUCGCCUUGCAGUCCAAGGGACUCGCAGGAGUCUUCUCCAGCACCAGAGUUCAAAGGCCUCAAUUCUUUGGCGCUCAGUCUUUAUUAUGGUCCAACCUUCACACCCAUACAUUGCAACUGGGAAAACCAUAGCUUUGAUUAUACGCACUUUGGUUGGCAGGGUGAUGUCUCUGCUUUUUAGUACGCUGUCUACAUACGCUGGAUCAUGGAGAAAGCUAGGGAGUUCCAGAAAAACAUCUACUUCUGCUUCAUUGACUAUGCUAAAGCCUUGAUUGUGUGGAUCACAACAAAUUGUGGCAAGUUCUUAAAGAGAUGGGAGUACCAGACCAUCUUAUUUGUCUCUUGAGAAACCUGUAUGCGGGUCAAGAAGCCACAGUGAGAACUGGACACGGAACCACUGAUUGGUUCAAAAUUGGGAAAGGAGUCCGGCAAGGCUGUAUACUAUCACCCUGCCUAUUUAACUUAUAUGCAGAACACAUCAUGAGAAAGACGGGGCUAGAUGAAUCAAAAAUUGGAAUUAAGAUUGCCGGAAGAAAUAUCAACAACCUCAGAUAUGCAGAUGAUACCACUCUAAUGGCAGAAAGCGAAGAGGAACUAAAGAGUCUCUUGAUGCGGGUGAAGGAGGAGAGUGCAAAAGUUGGCUUGAAACUCAACAUUAAGAAAACUAAAAUCAUGGCAUCCGUCCAUCCUUCCUAGGUUGGUAAAAUGAGGAGCCAGAUAGUUGGAGGCAAUAUGCUGACUGUAAACUGCUCAGAGAGGGCUGUAUAGCGCUAUGAAGCAGUAUAAAAACUGAAGGGCCACUGCUAUUCCAAAACUGGUAUUUCACUGAGAAAGCUAUUUAAAGGUUAUCCCAAUCUUCCUCAACCUCUCAGUGUGUUGGGGUUCCAUUCCGAAUUUUUAGCCAGCCCAGCCAAUUGCUGAGAAUUCUGGGUAGGGUAGAUCCUGUGUACCUGACAGGCAUCAAUCAUAUGCGAGACAUGGGAGAAACUCAGAAGGGUGGAAAUCUGCCCUCCAGUGUCCCUGUCAGCACAAUACAAACACACACACACACACACAGCACUCAUGUAAAAGAAGCGGGGAUGAAAUAUACACACCGACCCUGCCAUUGGGCUGGCCUGGCUUUAAAAAAAAAAGGGAGAGGGGGGUGGGCAUCGUCGGAUAAAUUUCAAAGCACGUGUCGGAAAUACGACCGGUCCAGGAUGGCCACUGAUACGCCAAGCCUAGGAGAAGCCAGAGCAGCUCCACAUUCAGCCACCAUUGCUGCUUUUACGCUCCUAUUCCCCCGAUGCAAAUGCGGGAAGCUCCGGGCUGUUUGGGCGCAGAAGCCCACCUUAUGGGGGCCUGGUGCUUGCGGGGGGGGGGAUCCGGGAAACCGCGAACUGUCCGCUUCGAUGAAAGAGCAACGCCUACCUAUUUUGGCCGGCGGAGCCGCAUCCCCUGCCGCAGCGAAGGAAGGCUCCGUUCUCAUCCCCCCUACAGCUACGGUGUUAGGAUUCCAGCUGCUCAAAAUUGCUCCAGUUCGUAAAUUUAUCCUGUAUUUUGCUGAGCCAAGAAGCAUUUCAGAGUCAAGCUUAGAUUUUCAUCCUAUUUCUACCACAACCAGAUUUUAGACAAGGGCACAUUCCAUAAUUUUGAGGCAUAGCAAGAAGAACAUUGUUUGCAUCAUUUUUCCGAACAACAGGCUGUCCUCACACCAUGAAGACAGGAAGAAAGCAGCACAUCACUGGACAUGUGUGGACAGUCCAAAGAGUACUUUCAAACACACUUCAGAUUGCGCAUUGUUAUUUCUCAAACAUGAACUUGCAUAUGAGAUCCCUCCCAAAAUUCUUUGAUUGUAAACUUUUCCCAUCUUUUUUUUUUCAACUCUUAAAAGUUGGAAGAGGGGGAAAUUGAGUAAUUGAGUAUUCUGAUUGUAAUGCCAAGAAUAUUAAGUACCUAAAAUGGGUACUUUACAAAUAAGAGCAUGUAAUAAAUUAACCAGACCUGCUGACCUUUCAGUAUUGUCACAAGGAAGAAUGAACCUGUGGCUAUGCAUGUAUCAAUCUCAAAGAUCAAAGAAUCAUUUUUUUACCCCAGAUUAAAAGACAAAGAGAUGAAAAAUUCCAUUAUGAUGAAGUCACUGUAAAACAAGAAAAGAUCUUUGCCUCUUGAGGCUUUUAUCUCUAUUGGAUCAGGAUGAUUAAUGUUCUAUUUUCUGAUAAGCCUGAAAAAGUAGCCUUGAAAGAUGAGUAUGAAAACAGUAAUUUUUAAAAAGGGAAUAAAAAAAAAAUACAGGCCGGGAGUGGAGACUCUUACAUAUCUGUGGUUAUGUCUAACUAGCCAGCUUGAUUUACUGGAUAACAUAUCUAGUAAGUCUAGACCCUAUCAACAGUAGAAACCUUCAAAUUUCUAGGUUCUACCAUAUUGCAAGAUCUAAAAUGGACAGCUAACAACAAAAAUGUCAUCGAAAAAGCACAACAAAGAAUGUUAUUUCAGUGCCAACUCAGAAAGCUCAAACUGCCCAAGGAGCUGCUGAUCCAGUUCUACAGAGGAAUUAUUGAGUCUGUCAUCUGCACCUCUGUAACUGUCUGGUUUGGUUCUGCAACCCAACAAGACAGACACAGACUUCAGAGGAUAAUUAGAACUGCAGAAAAAACAAUGGCUACCUGCCUUCUAUUGAGGACCUGUAUACUGCACGAAUCAAAAAGAGGGCUGUGAAAAUAUUUACAGACCCCUCACAUCCUGGACAUAAAUUGUUUCAAUUUCUACCCUGAAAAUAACGCUACAGAGCACUGCACACCAGAACAACUAGACACAAGAACAGUUUUUUCCCGAAGGCCAUCACUCUGCUAAACAAAUAAUUCCCUCAACAUUGUCAAACUAUUUACUAAAUCUGCACUACUAAAUCUCUACUAAAGAUUUACUACUACUACUGCUACUGCUACUACUACUAAUAAUAACAACAACAACAACAGAGUUGGAAGGGGCCUUGGAGGUUUCUAAUCCAACCCCCUGCCCAGGCAGGAAACCCUACACCAUUUCAGACAAAUGGUUAUCCAACAUUUUCUUAAAAAUUUCCAGUGUUGGAGCAUUCACAACUUCUGCAGGCAAGUUGUUCCACUGAUUAAUUGUUUUAACUGUCAGGAAAUUUCUCCUUAGUUCUAAGUUGUUUCUCUCUUUGAUUAGUUUCCACCCAUUGCUUCUUGUUCUACCCUCAGGUGCUUUGGAGAAUAGCUUGACUCCCUCUUCUUUGUGGCAACCCCUGAGAUAUUGGAACACUGCUAUCAUGUCUCCCCUAGUCCUUCUCUUCAUUAAACUAGGCAUACCGAAUUCCUGCAACCGUUCUUCAUAUGUUUUAGCCUCCAGUCCCCUAAUCAUCUUUGUUGCUCUUCUCUGCACUCUUUCUAGUGUCUCAACAUCUUUUUUACAUCGUGGUGACCAAAACUGAAUGCAAUAUUCCAAGUGUGGCCUUACAAAGGCAUUAUAAAGUGGUAUUAACACUUCACGUGAUCUUGAUUCUAUCCCUCUGUUUAUGCAGCCCAGAACUGUGUUGGCUUUUUUGGCAGCUGCUGCACACUGCUGGCUCAUAUCUAAAUGGUUGUCCACUAGGACUCCAAGAUCAACAAUGAGAAAUCUUCUCAUCGUUCCCAUCACCCAUCUCCUUCCACUUAUGAUUGUAACUUUGUUGCUUGUAUCCUUACGAUUUAUACUGAUAUUGUUUCCUGACUGCUUAUUUAUAGCCUAUGACUAUCA